UCAAGAACUCGCAGUACAUUACCAG
RNAcentral lists this non-coding RNA (25 nucleotides) under Gallus gallus (chicken). RNAcentral also lists the same sequence under 1 other name. Lineage: Eukaryota; Metazoa; Chordata; Aves; Galliformes; Phasianidae. The record is from RNAcentral.